CCAAUAGCGUAUAUUAAAGUUGUUGCAGUUAAAAAGCUCGUAGUUGAACUUCGGGGUUUACCCAUUGGUCAGGCUUAAUUGUCUGCACUGGUGAGAUGAAUCUCUACCUUCUGAGGAACUUUCAUGCCAUUUAUUUGGUGUGAUGGGAAAUCAGGACUGUUACUUUGAAAAAAUUAGAGUGUUUAAAGCAGGCUAACGUCUGAAUACAUUAGCAUGGAAUAAUGAAAUAGGACGGACUGAUUCUAUUUCGUUGGUUUCUAGGAUCACCGUAAUGAGUAAUAGGGAUAGUUGGGGGCAUUAGUAUUCAAUUGUCAGAGGUGAAAUUCUUGGAUUUAUUGAAGACUAACUACUGCGAAAGCAUUUGCCAAGGAUGUUUUCAUUAAUCAAGAACGAAAGUUAGGGGAUCGAAGACGAUCAGAUACCGUCGUAGUCUUAACCAUAAACUAUGCCGACUAGGGAUCGGACGAAGUUAAUUUUAUAAUGACGCGUUCGGCACCUUACG
Molecule: ribosomal RNA, 502 nt
Filed under: uncultured Glomeromycotina
Lineage: Eukaryota; Fungi; Glomeromycota
Description: partial small subunit ribosomal RNA
Rfam family: Eukaryotic small subunit ribosomal RNA
Source: RNAcentral